GUGGGUGGUAAACUCCAUCCAAGGCUAAAUACAAGCACGAGUCCGAUAGCGAACAAGUACCGUGAGGGAAAGUUGAAAAGUACUUUGAAGAGAGAGUAAACAGUACGUGAAACCGCAUGCAGGUAAACGGGUGGCGUCAAGCUGCGAACCCAGAGGAUUCAGCUGGCUAGGAUGUUGUGAUGCGCCUGGCGCAUCCAUCAGUCGGAAUAAGAUGUGAUAGUCCACUGGGAGACGGUGGGCCCGGCCGCAAGGUUGGGAUAUGUGUACCGGGUGUUAGCCGGAGCAUGCUAUUCAUCUGUUGGGCUGUCUAGUCAGUGCACUUUCUCUGUGGUGAACACCACGACCGGUGGAAUUGCCAGUCUGCUGUAGUCAAGUCUUGCUGAGAGGGUCCUUGUGGCCAACUUGGUAGGAUCACAGGCAAUGUCAGUGAACGGCGUAGGGGUGCCUUUGGUGUUCUUACGUGUUAUCGGCCACUGCUUGUCAACGGGCCUGCUCGGCGGUUGUUGUAACUGCUGCUGGGUGGUCUGGUGGGCUAUGGUGGUAAUAAAAACUGUGCAAGGCACCGGAGAUGUCGGCCUCAAAUGCACUCUGCACUGGCAUGUUACAAGUGCGAGGGGGUGCCAUUGCGGUCUGCCUGUUGUUGAGUCUGAUUGUCGUGUCGCCUGCGCAAAGUGGGCCCGGCAGUGGCUUGAUGCAGGAUGGGCCGUGGAUGGUGUCUCUCAGGUGUAGGGUGCGGUGGGCCCAAUAGUCAGUGGUGCUGUGGUAGACGAGCUACCCGACCCGUCUUGAAACACGGACCAAGGAGUUUAACAUGUAUGCAAGUCAAGGGGUCCUACGAAACCCAAAGGCGCAGUGAAAGUAAAGCUUCGACUUGUUCUCGGAGUGAGGUGAGAUCCUGCCGUGACUCGCAUCGCUUGGUGCCAGCAUCAGGCAAAGAGCGGUAGGCGCAUCACCGGCCCGUCCCAUGAUGUGGUCAUUGGAUGUCUGCAGUGGUUGCUUGC
RNAcentral lists this ribosomal RNA (1001 nucleotides) under Scyphophyllidium deburonae. RNAcentral describes it as "partial 28S ribosomal RNA". It matches the Rfam family "Eukaryotic large subunit ribosomal RNA", at positions 292 to 805 of the family's 3401-position model. Lineage: Eukaryota; Metazoa; Platyhelminthes; Cestoda; Phyllobothriidea; Phyllobothriidae. The record is from RNAcentral.